RNAcentral lists this ribosomal RNA (1393 nucleotides) under Limosilactobacillus reuteri. Its description in RNAcentral is "bacterial SSU rRNA". It matches the Rfam family "Bacterial small subunit ribosomal RNA", at positions 75 to 1439 of the family's 1533-position model. The record is from RNAcentral. Lineage: Bacteria; Bacillati; Bacillota; Bacilli; Lactobacillales; Lactobacillaceae.
GGUGCUUGCACCUGAUUGACGAUGGAUCACCAGUGAGUGGCGGACGGGUGAGUAACACGUAGGUAACCUGCCCCGGAGCGGGGGAUAACAUUUGGAAACAGAUGCUAAUACCGCAUAACAACAAAAGCCACAUGGCUUUUGUUUGAAAGAUGGCUUUGGCUAUCACUCUGGGAUGGACCUGCGGUGCAUUAGCUAGUUGGUAAGGUAACGGCUUACCAAGGCGAUGAUGCAUAGCCGAGUUGAGAGACUGAUCGGCCACAAUGGAACUGAGACACGGUCCAUACUCCUACGGGAGGCAGCAGUAGGGAAUCUUCCACAAUGGGCGCAAGCCUGAUGGAGCAACACCGCGUGAGUGAAGAAGGGUUUCGGCUCGUAAAGCUCUGUUGUUGGAGAAGAAUGUGCGUGAGAGUAACUGUUCACGCAGUGACGGUAUCCAACCAGAAAGUCACGGCUAACUACGUGCCAGCAGCCGCGGUAAUACGUAGGUGGCAAGCGUUAUCCGGAUUUAUUGGGCGUAAAGCGAGCGCAGGCGGUUGCUUAGGUCUGAUGUGAAAGCCUUCGGCUUAACCGAAGAAGUGCAUCGGAAACCGGGCGACUUGAGUGCAGAAGAGGACAGUGGAACUCCAUGUGUAGCGGUGGAAUGCGUAGAUAUAUGGAAGAACACCAGUGGCGAAGGCGGCUGUCUGGUCUGCAACUGACGCUGAGGCUCGAAAGCAUGGGUAGCGAACAGGAUUAGAUACCCUGGUAGUCCAUGCCGUAAACGAUGAGUGCUAGGUGUUGGAGGGUUUCCGCCCUUCAGUGCCGGAGCUAACGCAUUAAGCACUCCGCCUGGGGAGUACGACCGCAAGGUUGAAACUCAAAGGAAUUGACGGGGGCCCGCACAAGCGGUGGAGCAUGUGGUUUAAUUCGAAGCUACGCGAAGAACCUUACCAGGUCUUGACAUCUUGCGCUAACCUUAGAGAUAAGGCGUUCCCUUCGGGGACGCAAUGACAGGUGGUGCAUGGUCGUCGUCAGCUCGUGUCGUGAGAUGUUGGGUUAAGUCCCGCAACGAGCGCAACCCUUGUUACUAGUUGCCAGCAUUAAGUUGGGCACUCUAGUGAGACUGCCGGUGACAAACCGGAGGAAGGUGGGGACGACGUCAGAUCAUCAUGCCCCUUAUGACCUGGGCUACACACGUGCUACAAUGGACGGUACAACGAGUCGCAAGCUCGCGAGAGUAAGCUAAUCUCUUAAAGCCGUUCUCAGUUCGGACUGUAGGCUGCAACUCGCCUACACGAAGUCGGAAUCGCUAGUAAUCGCGGAUCAGAAUGCCGCGGUGAAUACGUUCCCGGGCCUUGUACACACCGCCCGUCACACCAUGGGAGUUUGUAACGCCCAAAGUCGGUGGCCUAAC